This 2925-nucleotide long non-coding RNA is filed under the name Mus musculus (house mouse). RNAcentral's name for it is "long non-coding RNA chr14:3820584-3823509". The record is from RNAcentral. Lineage: Eukaryota; Metazoa; Chordata; Mammalia; Rodentia; Muridae.
AUUCCUGAUCUUUCCAAGACUUUUAUCAUGAAUGGGUAUUGGAUUUUGUCAAAUGCUUUCUCAGCAUCUAAUGAGAUAAUCAUGUGUUUUUUUUUCUUUGAUUUGGUUUAUAUUGUGAAUUACGCUGAUGGAUUUGCGUAUAUUAAACCAUCCCUACAUCCCUGGGAUCCAGCCUACUUGGUCAUGAUGGAUGAUUGUCUUGAUGUGUUCUUGGAUUCGGUUUGUGAGGAUUUUAUUAAGUAUUUUUGCAUCCAUGGUCAUAAGAGAAAUUGGUCUGAAGUUCUCUUUUUUUCUUGGAUCUUUGUGUGGUUUAGGUAUCAGAGUAAUUGUGGCUUCAUAGAAAGAAUUGGGUAGAGUGCCUUCUGUCUCUAUUUUGUGGAAUAGUUUGAGGAGAGUUGGAAUCAGGUCUUCUUCGAAGGUCUGCUAGAACUUUGCACUAAACCCGUCAGGUCCUGGACUUUUUGGGGCUGGGAGACUAUUGAUGACUGCUUCUAUUUCUUUAGGGAAAUGAGAGUGUUUACAUCAUUAAUCUGAUUCUGAUUUAACUUUGGUAUCUGGUAUCUGUCUAGGAAGUUGUUUAUUUCAUACAGGUUUUCAGUUUUCCUGAGUAUAGCCUUUUGUAGUAGGAUCUGAUGAUGUUUUGGAUUUCCUCAGGUUCUGUUGUUAUGUUAUAAAGAACUCAAGUAGAUAACCUUCAUAAGAGCUAAGAACACAAUCUAAAAAUGAGGUAGAGAACUAAACACAACAUUCACAACAACGCAUCUUGAAUGGCUGAGAAGCACUGAAGAAGUGUGCAAAGUCCUUUUUUUUCAGGUAAAUGAAUAUCAAAAUGACCCUGAGGUGGUGUCCAGCGUUAUACUUUCCAGUGAAGAAUGCUAAGAUCAAAAAAACUCAUGUGAAAGCAUAUGUUGGUGAGAAUUUGAAGAAAGAGGAACAUUCUUCCAUUUCUGGUGGGACUGCAAAGUGCUAUGGCAACUCUGGAAAUCAAAAUGGAGUUCCUCAGAAAUUUUCAGAUAGAUCUACCUGAGAGCCAAGGACCAACCUUACUGGUGCAUGGCCUGCUACUUUCAGUUUUCACUUGAUGGCUUGUUACUCAGAUUUUCUUAUUGGGCUAUGACAUUGCUCUUGUCUUUCUGAUUCUCAAGCAGUUCUCUGUUCUUACACAUUGUUUUGAGGUACCUCUAGCCACUGGGACUUAUUUAUACCUUCAAAUCCCUCUAAAUUGGGGGACUUCUAAUACUUGGAGAAGCUGAGUGACAAAAGCAAAGUAUGUUGAGCCCUUUGGUGUCCACUGCACACGAAUCUAUGGGAGUUUAGAUAUAAUAAUCCUCUAGAACAUUCUUUAGGAAAGCAGCAGUAUGCUCUCAGUUCCCUGUGUGACCUCAGUUACCUUUGCCAGCUUUGUGGGCUUCUCUACUGCUGGUCUGAGAACAAUUGGAAACUCCUGGAAUAGAUGUCUCAUAUCUCAUUUCCUUUGUCUUUGUUAGUAUACUGAUGGGAUUCGGUUUGAUGGAAAUAUACUCUCAAGAAAAAUUAAUAAAACCAGUGCUUCUUACGGACCAUCAGGAUGAAGUACCAAGUUCAAGGACAGUUCUGCAAGAACUGCUCAAAGCCAGCCAAGUGGAACAAGAAGAAAGCCAAGCAGAAGUCAUUCAUUCCCAGCACCCUCAGCACCUUUCUCCAGGACAGGGUCACUCAGCUUUGGUAGAAGAAGGGAUGACCUGAGAUAGCUGCCACAUAUUCCCUCAGAAAAGAAGCAGCCAGCAAUAUUGGGGAAAGAAUAUAGGUGUCAGGGGGCAGAAAGCAGAGUGUAAAGUGAAUAAAUAAAAAGAUAUCAAUAAAAAAUAUUUAAUUAUUUAAAAAAAUUGGACAGAAUGUAUUGUUCUAGUAACUCUACUGUGUAUACACAGGCAAUAACUUUAACACCCAGAGAGAAUAGAUGUUGUAAAGUAGGGUGCCUUUGGUAUUGACAUAAACUAGGAACAUAGCAAAGAUAAAUAAAAAAGAAAGAUGUUUGUCCCAUAGAUCCAUUAUUCUCCUCAAGUCGAAGUGUUUGUGCUCACUUUUACCAGAACUCUGGAAACCUCUGUUAAUCCAGGUCUCAGGGCUCAUCCAAAGUACAGUCCUGAACUGGCUGUGGCCAAGGGUUCCUGUGUUGUUGGCUGACCUCUGCCUCAGGCUUCAGAGGCACUGGAGGGGCAGUUUUGGCCUUCAGGUGGCAGCCAUUCCAGGUCCCCUACCAUACCAGAUAGCGAGUCUUCCACAGAUGCCUGACAUCUCAAAAAUAGAAGCUUGGGUAUUUCAAAGAUUGGGAUGCCACUCUACAGUCAUGAUGAGUUGAUUACGUGAGACCGUACAAGUUAACUAAUGUCUGUAUGACUGUUUUCUUUAUUUGAAAGUGAGUAAUGAGAUCAUCUCAGGAGUGGUUGCUAAGAAUAAAAUCACUGAUUAACAUAAAUGAUAGGACUGUACAGAGCAUGGGCUUAAUAUUCUGGGUCCAGUGCAAAUAGCUGGGAGAGUUCAAAACAAAACCAAUAAAAGCAACAGGAAUACAAACAACAACAAUUGUUUAAAACCCUUUUGAGUGCUGAGAUUACUGGCAUGUACCAACUGUGGCUAACUUUUUUUGUUUUUAUAAUUAACAACCAAACAUACAAACAAACAAACAUCCCUAUUCCAAUUCCAGCAGUUUGCAUCAGAGAGAGCUGUGUGACACUGCAUGCUGCUUCCUUUCCUCAGAUAGCUCAGGUCGUCAGUCCUAUACCAGGUCAGCUGGACCUAAGACAGUGUAGUUGAACUACUUGCUGUCACGACAUGAUUCUACAACAAUCCUUUUCUUGGUAAAAUUGAGCCUCUAUAGAGUAAGCCCCAUGUUGUUGGAACCAGGACCCUUUAGGCCAGCAAACACACAAGCCACCCUUAGUG